ACAUGCAAGUCAAGGGGUAGCAAUACACCGGCGUACGGGUGCGUAACGCGUAUGGAACCUGCCCUUAUCUGGGGGAUAACUCGGGGAAACUCGAGCUAAUACCGCAUAAGAUAGUAGAAUGGCAUCAUUCAGCUAUUAAAGAUUUAUCGGAUAAGGAUGGCCAUGCGUAAGAUUAGAUAGUUGGCGAGGUAACGGCUCACCAAGUCUACGAUCUUUAGGGGCUCUGAGAGGAGAAUCCCCCACACUGGCACUGAGAUACGGGCCAGACUCCUACGGGAGGCAGCAGUAGGGAAUAUUGGGCAAUGGGCGCAAGCCUGACCCAGCCACGCCGCGUGCAGGAAGACGGCCCUCUGGGUUGUAAACUGCUUUUGACUGGGAAGAAAAGACUCCUUGCGAGGAGAGUUGACGGUACCAGCAGAAUAAGCCACGGCUAACUACGUGCCAGCAGCCGCGGUAAUACGUAGGUGGCGAGCGUUAUCCGGAUUUAUUGGGUUUAAAGGGUGCGUAGGCGGCUGAUUAAGUCAGCGGUGAAAGGUAGCAGCUUAACUGUUUUACAUGCCGUUGAUACUGGUUAGCUUGAGUUAACAGAAGGCAGAUAGAAUUUCUGGUGUAGCGGUGAAAUGCUUAGAUACCAGGAGGAAUACCGAUUGCGAAGGCAGUCUGCUGCAGUUACACUGACGCUGAGGCACGAAAGUGCGGG
This 700-nucleotide ribosomal RNA is filed under the name uncultured bacterium. RNAcentral describes it as "bacterial SSU rRNA". It matches the Rfam family "Bacterial small subunit ribosomal RNA", at positions 53 to 765 of the family's 1533-position model. The record is from RNAcentral.